This 456-nucleotide ribosomal RNA is filed under the name uncultured bacterium. RNAcentral's name for it is "bacterial SSU rRNA". It matches the Rfam family "Bacterial small subunit ribosomal RNA", at positions 38 to 507 of the family's 1533-position model. The record is from RNAcentral.
GGCGGCGCGUCUUAAACAUGCAAGUCGAACGAUCUGUAGCAAUACAGGGAGUGGCGGACGGGUGAGGAACACGUAGGAAUCUACCUUGAAGAGCGGGACAACUUUGGGAAACCGGGGCUAAUACCGCAUAGUACAGAGAUGUUAAAGGGCUAGCAAUAGUCGCUUCGAGAUGAGCCUGCGGUCUAUCAGCUUGUUGGUGAGGUAAUGGCUCACCAAGGCUACGACGGAUAGCCGGUCUGAGAGGAUGAUCGGCCACACUGGCACUGAGACACGGGCCAGACUCCUACGGGGGGCAGCAGUUAAGAAUCUCGCGCAAUGGGGGAAACCCUGACGCAGCGACGCCGCGUGAAGGAUGAAGGCUUUCGGGUUGUAAACUUCGGUAGACUGGGAAGAAGAAAUACGUUCGUUGAGGGCGUAUAGUGACGGUACCAGUCUGAAGCCCCGGCUAAUUACGUG